Long non-coding RNA from Photinus pyralis (common eastern firefly), 1936 nucleotides. RefSeq lists it as uncharacterized. NCBI's taxonomy places the organism in Eukaryota, Metazoa, Arthropoda, Insecta, Coleoptera, Lampyridae. The record is from RefSeq and is a predicted model, not a curated record. The transcript is spliced from 3 exons.
ACAUUAUUAUGCAGCAUGGCAGUUAAUUGCUCUGUCUUUUAUUCAUGUUGGUAAUGGACCGAAGUUUUUUUCUGAGAGUUUUUACUCAAUUCUAUAUGAUGACAUUGGAAAUGGUUUCCCAAAUAUAGACGAUAUAGAAGACCUACAUAUUCGGGAGACUCUCCACAAAUUAUCUAGAAUCACAGAGCUUUCUACUUUGCAGAGUAUACUCGAGGAUCCUUUAUUCACAGUAGCAGGCUGUGAUGUUAUAGUAAAGGACAUAGAACAUAGGAAUCAAUUACUUGAAGCCGUUACUAAUUUCUAUGCAUAUCAUAAAAUUCGUCCAGCACUAGAGCAAUUCAGGGAAGGCCUCCAGUCCGGUAUGAUUUUUGAACUUAUCAAGAGCCAUCCAACUAUAUUCAAGGAGGCAAUGUGCUGUGAAGAGUUGCUAACAGUUAACCUAUUCGACAAUCUCUUCACAAUAAAUUACAGUGAAAUCGGCAGUACAAAGCGGUCUGCAGAAAAUCGAACUAUUACUUUCUGGAGAGACUUUUUACUGGACUGUGAAGACAAUGUGACAGAUAUUACUCUUAAAACUAUAUUGAUAUUUGUAACUGGUGCAGAGACAGUGCCUCCAUUAGGAUUUAAUCAUCAGCCAAUAAUUUCAUUUUUACACGACCAGAGUUUAUAUCCAAAAGCGAACACAUGUGGGUUGCAAUUAGAUUUACCUACCGCGCAUAAUACUUAUGAAACUUUUCUUCACCAUGUUGUAUUUGGCAUCGGUAAUUGCAACAAUUUCGCAUUUGCAUAAUCUGUAUCAAGUUCUUCGUGAAUCCUCCCCAUUAUUUCUAUGUUUGCAGAAGUCCUAUAAUUUCAUUUGAAUUUCAUUACGAGUUGUAUUUUAUUUGGAAUAGAAAUUACUUUACCUUUUUCUUUAAAUCCUAAAUAUACAGUAAAUUUUUAUAGAAUUGGAAAUAAAUAAAAGUUUAAGGGUGCCUCGAUUGACACCCUGUAUGUUGCUGAAUGUAAAGCAAUAUUUAGUAGUAUAUGUGUAAAAACUUUACUGUUUUUUGUAUGCAUUUUUUUAGACUGUAACAUGUGAUAUCAAGAGUUCCUAAGUUUGUGUUCUUUAUUUUUAUAAUAUUUCUAUACAAUAUAGCAUACUGUUGUGUUUCUUUUAAACAAUGAAAUUGAUUAACUAGUAAACAAUUAAGUGAACUUAAAUUUCACUGCCAUAUUGUUAAUGGUAGGUAUUAGAAUAAAGAUGCUGCUAUAAACAUUUGCUGUUAUGUUAUAUCGUUGAUGUUAUAUGAUUAUCCUUCUGAAAAUUUUGAUUACAAGUGAUAUUUCUAAGGAAUUUUAGGUUGAGAUUCACUUUUUCCCAAAAACUUAAAUUCUACAAUUCUUACAUUCUUAACUUUACAGGUUCUCCAAAUCUUCAAAUUCCCAAAUCCUAACCUUGUCAAAUUCUCAAUUUCUCGAGUUCUCAAAUUCAUAAAUUUUGUGUGUCAAGAUGACACACAUCAAAUUUUCAAGUAUUUUUUUUUUCUCUAUGUAAAAUAUAAAAACUAAAGUAAUGGCAGUAUUUAAAGAUUCCCCGAGAUCGUUUGAUAUCAAUAAUCAUUUUGGUCCUGGGACUACAACUACAAGUAAUGGUAAUGGAAACAACGGCCAUUAUGAAAGUUUAGGUGAUACCAAUUUUAAAUGUUGUAACGUACUCACGCACAAGGGUAACCUUAUGUGAGGUUGUUGUACUUAUUUGUAUAUAAUUGUAUUGUCUUACAAAUAAACUAUACUAUACUAAAUGAACUGUAUAUGUGCUAGUGUUAUAAUUUUCUAAGCAACAAUAUUAAAAAUCGUCUUGUGUCAGUUAGAAGAAACAACGUCUGUUAAGGCGAGGCUUUCCAUAGACUACUUGAUUAUGUAAAAAAUUUCAGUUUUUUGCAAGAAUUUUAGA